This 77-nucleotide transfer RNA is filed under the name Methylophaga thalassica. Its description in RNAcentral is "tRNA-Arg". It matches the Rfam family "tRNA". Rfam says of the family: Transfer RNA (tRNA) molecules are approximately 80 nucleotides in length. Their secondary structure includes four short double-helical elements and three loops (D, anti-codon, and T loops). Further hydrogen bonds mediate the characteristic L-shaped molecular structure. tRNAs have two regions of fundamental functional importance: the anti-codon, which is responsible for specific mRNA codon recognition, and the 3' end, to which the tRNAs corresponding amino acid is attached (by aminoacyl-tRNA synthetases). tRNAs cope with the degeneracy of the genetic code in two manners: having more than one tRNA (with a specific anti-codon) for a particular amino acid; and 'wobble' base-pairing, i.e. permitting non-standard base-pairing at the 3rd anti-codon position. Lineage: Bacteria; Pseudomonadati; Pseudomonadota; Gammaproteobacteria; Thiotrichales; Piscirickettsiaceae. The record is from RNAcentral. RNAcentral also lists the same sequence under 37 other names.
GCGCCCGUAGCUCAGCUGGAUAGAGUACCUGGCUACGAACCAGGCGGUCGCACGUUCGAAUCGUGCCGGGCGCACCA